CGCGGCCUAUCAGCUUGUUGGUGAGGUAAUGGCUCACCAAGGCAUCUACGGGUAGCUGGUCUGAGAGGACGAUCAGCCACACUGGGACUGAGACACGGCCCAGACUCCUACGGGAGGCAGCAGUGGGGAAUCUUGCGCAAUGGGCGAAAGCCUGACGCAGCGAUGCCGCGUGGGGGAUGAAGGCUCUCGGGUCGUAAACCCCUUUCAGCAGGGACGAAAAUGACGGUACCUGCAGAAGAAGCCCCGGCCAACUACGUGCCAGCAGCCGCGGUAACACGUAAGGGGCAAGCGUUGUCCGGAUUUAUUGGGCGUAAAGGGCUCGUAGGUGGUUGCGUAAGUCAGAUGUGAAAACUCCAGGCUCAACUUGGAGACGCCAUCUGAUACUGCGCUGACUUGAGUCCGGUAGAGGAGUGUGGAAUUUUUAGUGUAGCGGUGAAAUGCGCAGAUAUUAGAAGGAACACCUAUUGCGAAGGCAGCACUCUGGGCCGGUACUGACACUGAGGAGCGAAAGCAUGGGUAGCAAACAGGAUUAGAUACCCUGGUAGUCCAUGCCGUAAACGGUGGGCACUAGGUGUGGGGUCUUUCAACGGAUUCUGUGCCGAAGCUAACGCAUUAAGUGCCCCGCCUGGGGAGUACGG
Molecule: ribosomal RNA, 638 nt
Filed under: uncultured Actinomycetes bacterium
Lineage: Bacteria; Bacillati; Actinomycetota; Actinomycetes
Description: bacterial SSU rRNA
Rfam family: Bacterial small subunit ribosomal RNA
Source: RNAcentral